RNAcentral lists this small RNA (156 nucleotides) under Streptomyces sp. RNAcentral's name for it is "c-di-AMP sequence". It matches the Rfam family "c-di-AMP riboswitch aptamer (ydaO/yuaA leader)". Rfam says of the family: This family represents a conserved RNA structure found upstream of the ydaO and yuaA genes in Bacillus subtilis and related genes in other bacteria. RNAcentral also lists the same sequence under 1 other name. Lineage: Bacteria; Bacillati; Actinomycetota; Actinomycetes; Kitasatosporales; Streptomycetaceae. The record is from RNAcentral.
CGUGCGCACGCGCCGAAUUCCGCAAGGAAACCGGGGAACCAUCAAUUGGGGUGAAUCGGGCAUCUUCUGCUGCCUCGUGCGGCGAGAAGGCGCUCGUAGGAGACCUUCCUGCUCCGAACCCGUCAGCUAACCCGGUAGGCGAGAAGGAAGGAAAGG